UUACCCCUACGGGGCGCAGCAGUGGGGAAUAUUGCACAAUGGGGGAAACCCUGAUGCAGCAACGCCGCGUGAGUGAAGAAGUAUUUCGGUAUGUAAAGCUCUAUCAGCAGGGAAGAAGAUGACGGUACCUGACCAAGAAGCCCCGGCUAACUACGUGCCAGCAGCCGCGGUAAUACGUAGGGGGCAAGCGUUAUCCGGAUUUACUGGGUGUAAAGGGAGCGCAGACGGCAG
Molecule: ribosomal RNA, 231 nt
Filed under: uncultured bacterium
Lineage: Bacteria
Description: partial 16S ribosomal RNA
Rfam family: Bacterial small subunit ribosomal RNA
Source: RNAcentral